GCCCAUGUGGCGAAAUUGGUAAACGCGGCGGUCUUGAAAACCGUAGCUGUCGAGGCAAUGCGGGUUCGAAUCCCGCCAUGGGCA
RNAcentral lists this transfer RNA (84 nucleotides) under Lysobacter capsici AZ78. Its description in RNAcentral is "tRNA-Ser". It matches the Rfam family "tRNA". From Rfam's summary of the family: Transfer RNA (tRNA) molecules are approximately 80 nucleotides in length. The record is from RNAcentral. Lineage: Bacteria; Pseudomonadati; Pseudomonadota; Gammaproteobacteria; Lysobacterales; Lysobacteraceae.